Molecule: ribosomal RNA, 1058 nt
Filed under: uncultured Tulasnellaceae
Lineage: Eukaryota; Fungi; Basidiomycota; Agaricomycetes; Cantharellales; Tulasnellaceae
Description: eukaryotic LSU rRNA
Rfam family: Eukaryotic large subunit ribosomal RNA (bases 468-1058)
Source: RNAcentral
GUGCACGUUAAAUGGAUCGAGAGCGUUGCUCCGGCCACACGGUUUCGGCCGUGUCAUUAAACCUCAACAGAAUUACCUUCUGUUUGAACCUUUACAACUAGUAGCACUGGAUCCCUUGGCACGUCAUUCGAUGAAGAACGUAGCAAUCUGCGAUAAGUGGUGUGAUAUGCAAGUCCACAGCUUAUACGUGAACCAUCGAAUCUUUGAACGCACUGCACUAUCCGGACGACACCCCCGUGAUAGUAUGCCCCAUUGAGCGUUAUUUGUUCAUUCAGACGCCAUUGUGUUUGUUCACCUUGGUGGAUGAGUUCGAGGUUCACACUGUUUGUGCGCUCCUUGAGAUUCAUUAGCAACCGAAAUCCUAAUUGGUGCCCAUCCUGUGAUGAUUUUGCAGGCCAAGGUCCAUUGGGCUGGUGCUGAUAGUCGCCCUUGCUGGCAACACUGGUGCUUGCACCCUCAUUCUGUACAUAACCUCAGUGGGGUAGGAUUACCCGCUAGACUUAAGCAUAUUAAUCAGCGGAGGAAAAGAAACUAACAAGGAUUCCCCCAGUAACUGCGAGUGAAGAGGGAAUAGCUCAACGUGUGAAUCUGUCCGGGAGUAACCCCUGGUUCAGAGUUGUGCACUGUAGACGUCGGUUUCUGCGCUUGAAUUCCAGUUGUCAGUCCCAAGUCGGAUGAAACACCGCACCACAGAAGGUCAUAGCCCUGUGUCUGACUGUGCUUGAAUUUGCGCCAAUGACCGCACGUUCGUCGAGUCGCGUAGUUUUGUAAUGCUGCGCCAAUUGGGAGGUGGAACCCUUCUAAAGCUAAAUAUGAUGACGUGACCGAUAGCAAACAAGUACCGCGAGGGAAAGGUGAAAAGCAACCAUGUAGAAUGCGUUGAAACAGCAGUGAAAGUGCUACUGGGAUAAGGGCUAUUGAGUGCUAGUCUUUUGGUAGCGUGCUUCAGUGCUGCUCCAGGAGCGGCCUGCGUCGAUUGGAACUGGGAGACAUGCUCGGGGUUGAAUUCGGCCAAUGGCUUGCCACCGGUGUUGUAGCUCCCCGAUGAGUUGAGCCCA